GAGAGCAGGGGUGAGGACGGCUGAUCGGGCCACGUUGCCGUGUUUUAAUGGGGAGAUGCGGUAUAAUAGCUUUGACCUCUGACCUUUUGUGGUGACUAUAGCUCAUUACGCUGAUCUGUGAGUGUCAGAGUGGCAUCUGAGAGCGAGUGAGCGUGUGUGUGUGUAGCAAGAUCUGCUGCAGAGCAGUCUCCUCUCAGCCUGUCCAUCUUCAUUUGAUCACAUCCAGAGAGAAUCAACUCUUACUCCCCAUUAGGAAUGAACACUGACUGAAGUCCUUCGUCAGUUUGCUUCAACACUCUACACUUUGGGUCAGUGACUGUGUUCAACAUGGAGAGGACAAGAGCCAUAUACACGAGAGGAUCCAUGUGACAUGUUGAUG
Molecule: long non-coding RNA, 379 nt
Organism: Onychostoma macrolepis
Lineage: Eukaryota; Metazoa; Chordata; Actinopteri; Cypriniformes; Cyprinidae
Exons: 3
Source: RefSeq, a predicted model, not a curated record